Molecule: ribosomal RNA, 253 nt
Filed under: uncultured bacterium
Lineage: Bacteria
Description: partial 16S ribosomal RNA
Rfam family: Bacterial small subunit ribosomal RNA
Source: RNAcentral
UACGGAGGGUGCAAGCGUUAAUCGGAAUUACUGGGCGUAAAGCGUGCGUAGGCGGUUCGUUAAGUCUGUUGUGAAAGCCCCGGGCUCAACCUGGGAAUGGCAAUGGAUACUGGCGAGCUAGAGUGUGUCAGAGGAUGGUGGAAUUCCCCGGUGUAGCGGUGAAAUGCGUAGAGAUCGGGAGGAACAUCAGUGGCGAAGGCGCCUGCUGGGCUGUUGCUGACGCUGAGGCGCGACAGCGUGGGGAGCAAACAGG